AUUUCUUAAUUAUAUUUUUAUAUAGUUUAAUUCAAAACAUUACAUUUUCAUUGUAAAAUUAAAUAUUAUUUUUUAUAA
RNAcentral lists this transfer RNA (78 nucleotides) under Microtrichalus sp. A00353. RNAcentral's name for it is "tRNA-Glu". Lineage: Eukaryota; Metazoa; Arthropoda; Insecta; Coleoptera; Lycidae. The record is from RNAcentral.